CGCCACGCCGGUGCUGCCCAACGUGUACAGCGCGCUGCUCUGCUUUGACCGCCUCUCCGAGCUCUCCUCUGCCAUUGACGAGUUCUCAAGUGGGUAUCAACAAGACUGCGCGCGUGCCGGAGAACGAGGACGACUGAAAUCACAUAGAGGAAACUCGAAUACAAUAGUGGCUCUUGCUGGGAACAAGGCUGAUGUGUUAGAUACGAGGCAGGUGUCAGCAGAUAAGUUUGAACUUGAUUUGUGUUGCUGAGUGGUGCUUGCUGGACAUUGCUGGAUUUUUAGAUCCUAUAAGAACAAUGGCAUUAGGUAGACGUACUCAAAAUAGGACGGUGGCAGGCCUGUCUCCCUUUCCUCCUUUCGUGCUAUUUGACGAUAUUCAAGAUGUCAAUAACUUACCACAAGUCAAAAGUGUCUUUGCGAGAGUAGUUGUUAAGUUCCCUAGGCGUCGUAAUAGUCAACACUACAUCCUACAGGACAUCACUGGAUCCAAAAUCGAAGCAAUUUCUAACGGCAAUAAUGUCCAACGGUUCGAUGCCUUACUCACACAAGGAUGCACAUAUACAUUGUAUAGAGUGGCAUUUUGUCUAAACCGGGAGGAACUUCAAUUUCGCAAUAUUGGUCAUGGGCUAGAGUUGGGAUUGAUAACACAUACUAUUGUGGAUCCAUUCACGAAGCCAAUCCAAUUUCCUCCAUUUCCAAAGUAUCUUAUGCCAUUUCAUGAGGUUUACCAACAACCGCAUAAGACAUUCGUAGAUGUUAUUGGCAUAGUUCUUCAUUUGGAACCAUUAAAGCAUAUCGGUGGAAGACCGUAUAGAGAAG
Molecule: long non-coding RNA, 819 nt
Organism: Zea mays
Lineage: Eukaryota; Viridiplantae; Streptophyta; Magnoliopsida; Poales; Poaceae
Exons: 8
Source: RefSeq, a predicted model, not a curated record